RNAcentral lists this ribosomal RNA (327 nucleotides) under uncultured bacterium. RNAcentral describes it as "bacterial SSU rRNA". It matches the Rfam family "Bacterial small subunit ribosomal RNA", at positions 8 to 334 of the family's 1533-position model. The record is from RNAcentral.
AGGGUUUGAUCAUGGCUCAGGACGAACGCUGGCGGCGUGCCUAACACAUGCAAGUCGAACGGAGUGAAGCCCUUCGGGACUUUACUUAGUGGCGAACGGGUGAGUAACGCGUGAGGAACCUGCCUUUCAGUGGGGGACAACAGUUGGAAACGACUGCUAAUACCGCAUGAUACUUUUUGGAGGCAUCUCUGAAAAGUCAAAGAUUUAUUGCUGAAAGAUGGUCUCGCGUCUGAUUAGCUAGUUGGCGGGGUAACGGCCCACCAAGGCGACGAUCAGUAGCCGGUCUGAGAGGAUGAACGGCCACAUUGGGACUGAGAUACGGCCCAG